Paramisgurnus dabryanus is the source of this 481-nucleotide long non-coding RNA. RefSeq lists it as uncharacterized. The record is from RefSeq and is a predicted model, not a curated record. Lineage: Eukaryota; Metazoa; Chordata; Actinopteri; Cypriniformes; Cobitidae.
UCUGGAUCACAGGCUAUUCGCAGCUGGACACAUCCUUCUACACUGUAUGCAAACAUGCAACAUCAUAACACACAGUACAAGGAGUCAGACUGGCAUAUGAGGAGCAAAGGAACCCAGGCAGUAGCAUCGUUUCACAAUGUUUCCAUCACCAUCAUCAGUGGAUGCCUUUGCCGUCCGUAGCCUGAGAUUUCAGAUUUGCAGCAAAAAAAAUUGAUUUUCUCAUUUAUUGGAAUGCUAUGCAGGUUGUACCUUGCAGCCAUCCAUUACAAUGUCACCAAGCCGUAACAAAAGCAGGAGAGGGAAAGUACAAGGCUAUGUUCCCAAAACACACAAAUGACAUACCUUAUGUGGAUGAUGUGAUCAGGCUUGUGUUUGAUGAGGUAUUUGAAGAUAAGCUGAAGGAAACCCCGAUUCCAAUGGACCUGGCAUCACAGUUUGAGAGACCUUCAAAGGAGGACGUGAUUGCAUGCCAUCUUCAGUG